Molecule: ribosomal RNA, 403 nt
Filed under: Lasiodiplodia theobromae
Lineage: Eukaryota; Fungi; Ascomycota; Dothideomycetes; Botryosphaeriales; Botryosphaeriaceae
Description: eukaryotic LSU rRNA
Rfam family: 5.8S ribosomal RNA (bases 75-228)
Source: RNAcentral
GGCUCUGUCCGCCAAAGGACCUUCAAACUCCAGUCAGUAAACGCAGACGUCUGAUAAACAAGUUAAUAAAGUAAAACUUUCAACAACGGAUCUCUUGGUUAUGGCAUCGAUGAAGAACGCAGCGAAAUGUGAUAAGUAAUGUGAAUUGCAGAAUUCAGUGAAUCAUUGAAUCUUUGAACGCACAUUGCGCCCCUUGGUAUUCCGGGGGGCAUGCGUGUUCGAGCGUCAUUACAACCCUCAAGCUCUGCUUGGAAUUGGGCACCGUCCUCACUGCGGACGCGCCUCAAAGACCUCGGCGGUGGCUGUUCAGCCCUCAAGCGUAGUAGAAUACACCUCGCUUUGGAGCGGUUGGCGUCGCCCGCCGGACGAACCUUCUGAACUCUAUCAAGGUGACCUCGGAUCA